Molecule: long non-coding RNA, 499 nt
Filed under: Mustela putorius furo (domestic ferret)
Lineage: Eukaryota; Metazoa; Chordata; Mammalia; Carnivora; Mustelidae
Description: lncRNA (ENSMPUG00000028149.1)
Source: RNAcentral
AGGAGGUGUUCCCUGGGCUUUCUAACAGGCAAGGCUCUGUAUACAAUAACAGGAAUGAAGUUACAAGGAUUAGAAUUAGCGCACGUCCCAGUCGGAAAGUGUGGCUGGCUGGCAGUUGCCUGGGAUGUGGACAGAUGAGCAGCAAAUACCUCACCAGGAUCAAGGAAAACUUCUACGAAACAUUCAGAAGAGUAAAGUUAUUCAGUCUUCAAAAAGAGAAGGAUUCUGACACGUGCUACGGUGCAGAGGAGCCUCGGAAAUAUCAUGCCAAGUGAAAUCAGUGAGACACAAAGGACCGCUACUGGAGAAUUCCACUUUAUAUAAGAAGUACCGCAUCUCAGCAAAUUCUGAGUGGCACAAGGUAUAAUAGGAUCUGGGGACAAGGGGAAUAAGGAAUUAUUGUUUCAUAUGUAUAGAUUUCCUGAUUGGGAAGAUGAAAAAAUUCUGGAGAUGGACAGUGGUGAUGGUUGUAUGUUAAAAUAUACUUAAUGAAUUGUAU